CAGCCGCCGCGGUAAUACGAAGGGGGCUAGCGUUGUUCGGAUUUACUGGGCGUAAAGGGCGCGUAGGCGGGCGAAUCAGUCAGGGGUGAAAUCCCAAGGCUCAACCCUGGAACUGCCUUUGAUACUGUUUGUCUUGAGUUCAAGAGAGGUAAGUGGAACUGCGAGUGUAGAGGUGAAAUUCGUAGAUAUUCGCAAGAACACCAGUGGCGAAGGCGGCUUACUGGCUCGAAACUGACGCUGAGGCGCGAAAGCGUGGGGAGCAAACAGGAUUAGAUACCCCCGUAGUCCCUGUCUCUUAUAC
RNAcentral lists this ribosomal RNA (301 nucleotides) under uncultured bacterium. RNAcentral's name for it is "partial 16S ribosomal RNA". It matches the Rfam family "Bacterial small subunit ribosomal RNA", at positions 509 to 807 of the family's 1533-position model. The record is from RNAcentral.